CAGUAGCCACGGUAAAACAGAGGGUGCGAGCGUUAAUCGGAUUUACUGGGCGUAAAGCGUGCGUAGGCGGCUUCUUAAGUCGGAUGUGAAAUCCCUGAGCUUAACUUAGGAAUUGCAUUCGAUACUGGGAAGCUAGAGUAUGGGAGAGGAUGGUAGAAUUCCAGGUGUAGCGGUGAAAUGCGUAGAGAUCUGGAGGAAUACCGGUGGCGAAGGCGGCCCCCUGGACAAAGACUGACGCUCAGGUGCGAAAGCGUGGGGAGCAAACAGGAUUAGAUACCCCCGUAGUCCCUGUCUCUUAUAC
This 301-nucleotide ribosomal RNA is filed under the name uncultured bacterium. RNAcentral's name for it is "partial 16S ribosomal RNA". It matches the Rfam family "Bacterial small subunit ribosomal RNA", at positions 509 to 807 of the family's 1533-position model. The record is from RNAcentral.